RNAcentral lists this long non-coding RNA (686 nucleotides) under Citrus x clementina. Its description in RNAcentral is "Citrus clementina (C. clementina) long non-coding RNA (CCLE_LNC003569)". The record is from RNAcentral. Lineage: Eukaryota; Viridiplantae; Streptophyta; Magnoliopsida; Sapindales; Rutaceae.
UUUCAGUUAUCAUUCUUUUUGUACUUCUUUAUACUUAAGAAUCACCUGCUGCUCUCCUUGAGGCAUAUCAACAAAGGGAUAAAACUAAAAAGGGAAUUGACACAGCAACAGAGGUUUCUGAUAAGCUUUUAGAAAUUAUUCCGUGCAUACAUUUUGCUUUUACAAUGGCCCUGCUUCUUGCAUAUGUUAUCAUGACAUUUAUGUUUACGUGGAUAAAGAAGCCACAAGAUUGACUAAGAGGCUUUCAAUUUUUGGUAUGCAAGUUAAUCUCAAGAUUUUGGAUACCCUCUUGUUUGUGGCUUGUGAAUCUUUUUUUUUUUUUUUAAUUUUUUUAUGCUUAAAUUUCCAGCUAAUUGAUGCUAGUGCAUAGCUCUGUUACGUCGUCAGAGAAUAUCUCUUUAAUUCUCAGGUGUGGUUUCUCAGACUCGUCUGUGGUUUUGUUUAUGAAUGCCUUCUAUCACAUUCCAAUUGUUGAUACUUGAAAACAUUCAAUUAGGGAAGAAAGCUAAUUCUCUCAUUUGAUUUGCAGGGUUAGUACUUUGAUUCCUCUGGUAUUGCAGCAGUAUGGGGUAUCUUGAUUUAUAUCCUAUAUGCCAUUAUUCUUAAUGCAGCCAUAAAUCAAUGUUUUAUUAUCAAUUAUUAAAGUGAAGAUAUUAUUUUAGCUUUUGAAGUAAUUCGAAAAAUGU